GGCGAGUACAGGUACCGCUGCGGCACUUGUGAGAAGACCUUCCGCAUCGAGAGCGCGCUGGAGUUCCACAACUGCAGGACAGAUGACAAGACGUUCCAAUGUGAGAUGUGUUUCAGAUUCUUCUCCACCAACAGCAACCUCUCCAAGCACAAGAAGAAGCACGGCGACAAGAAGUUUGCCUGUGAGGUCUGCAGCAAGAUGUUCUACCGCAAGGACGUCAUGCUGGACCACCAGCGCCGGCACCUGGAAGGAGUGCGGCGAGUGAAGCGAGAGGAUCUGGAGGCCGGCGGGGAGAACCUGGUCCGCUACAAGAAGGAGCCUUCCGGGUGCCCGGUGUGUGGCAAGGACAUCGCGUUGAUGGAUGACCACCAGAGGGAAGAGUUUAUCGGCAAGAUAGGGAUCUCCUCGGAAGAAAACGACGACAAUUCUGACGAGAGCGCAGACUCGGAGCCUCACAAGUACAGCUGCAAGCGGUGCCAGCUCACCUUCGGCCGGGGGAAGGAGUACCUGAAGCACAUCA
RNAcentral lists this small RNA (520 nucleotides) under Pongo abelii (Sumatran orangutan). Its description in RNAcentral is "processed transcript". The record is from RNAcentral. Lineage: Eukaryota; Metazoa; Chordata; Mammalia; Primates; Hominidae.